Long non-coding RNA from Lineus longissimus, 278 nucleotides. RefSeq lists it as uncharacterized. Lineage: Eukaryota; Metazoa; Nemertea; Pilidiophora; Heteronemertea; Lineidae. The record is from RefSeq and is a predicted model, not a curated record. The transcript is spliced from 2 exons.
UCACGACCUACAGGUGAAUGACCAUCCAACCUACGAAGUCGGCUACCAGAAGGACACCGGUAACGACUUCUUUAAGGGGCGCAUUGCACUCUGUUGAUGGCAACGCGUACAACUUACUUGGCUGUUCAGCUUUUCCAUCUUGUCACCACUAAGAUGUCUGCAUUACUGAGAUGCAUGCAAAUGGCCCUUCCUCGGUUUCUUCUCAGUGAAUCGCUUGAUUGAUGAUGAUUCUGCAGUGUCUACUGUAAACAUCAAUAAAAUCCCUUGAAGUAUAUUUA